UAUAUAUUUUCAACACAUUUUGGGAGGAUCACUUGAGCCCAGGAGUUUGAGAUCAGCCUGGGCAACACAGGGAUACCCCAUCUCUUAAAUGGAAAGAGAAAAAAACAAAGCUAUUCCAAAAAUGAGGACACCCCCCUGGCGUCCGAGUCCUCACCCCGUGUGCCACACUGGCCGCCUCUGCCAUCCUCCACCUCCAGGCGCUCCUAGAGCUGUCCCUGGGCCUGUGGCUUCCAAAGGGGGCUGUAGUUGGGUCCCGCUCGCCUAGACCGCCGCCCUGGCCGCUCUUGGUGAAGGGCUUCUUGUCCAGCCCGCCUUCCUCCUCCUGGGUUUCCGUGUGACAGGUGCCCCGUCCUAUGGGGUGGUGUCUCACAUUUGCUUUGCUGUUAAAAAAUGGGGUAUACCAUCCCCGGGCCUCCAAUCACCAGCCCUGCCCCUGAAUGGGGAUGGUUCUCAGCAGCUCCUUGCUCUGGGGGCCAAGCUCCUUGUCCAGGAGGCCUUUGGAGAACUGGGGUCAGAGCUGUGGGGAGGUACAGCCCUCCUGUGCAGGCUGCCUCCCAGCUCUCCACCUGGCAGUCUUGACCCCACCCUGGUGCCUCUGCUCACUGGCACAGGUGGAUCUGGGGUUCGAGGUCUCCUCCCACUUCACCCUGACAUUCUUGUAUGUAUGGGGUCAACGCCUCCUCUCUGAAGCCCACGGGUCCUCUCCCAGCCCCAGGCUGCACCCAGUGCAGAACCUUUGCCUCCUGGCCGGAGGGACCCUUCUGCAGGCUGAUUCUAGCAGUGCCCGAUGGUGGGACCCACACCAGACAAGCCUUCGCCUCCCAGAGGCCUCCUGGCCCUCCUGUCACGGCCUCUGAGAGCCACAUCCCUAGGCCCCGUCUCCUGGUCUGCAGGCUGCAGGACCAGCUGCUCACGGCCCCCGGGGGCAAGGGCUGUAGAUGAGGGUCUCAAAGGUGGUGGGAGCACCCCUGCCCUACAGUUCCUGGGCAUUUCUUUAGAGCUUUAAAAUGGCACCUGGAGACCACCAGGCGCGGUGACUGACCACUUCUUGCUCUCAGACCGAGGUGUGGCAGGCAGGGGAUGCAGCCCAGGAGGGAGGCAGGUGGCCUGGGAGGCUCCCGGACCCUCAGGGGGCCUGUGUCUUUGGGCACUGCAGCUCCGCGCCCCACUCCUUUCCUCCAGAACAUUCCCCACUCAGGCCAGAGAAUUGUGUCUGCUCUAGGAAUGCAUCCUAGCGUGUGUACAAUCGCGCCUGGGUGUCCUGUUCUCAUGAGCAAGCGGUUUUAACCAGCAGCAUAAUUUAUACUCAUAGGACUGGGGGAAGGGCCGUUCCCGAGGCUGGGGUGCAGUGCCUUGGAAAGCACCCCCGAAACAGUAGACCUUGUAUUUUUAGUGUCCCUUGCAACCAUCCUUUGACUUAGAGCAAGAAUUUCCGCUGCUGCUACCCCCAAGAUGGGCUUCACCAGAUGUUAAUAACGUGCUUAUUUUCUCUAAGUGCUAUUUUGGCACCAGUGUUAGUUGCAAUUUAUAUUCUGCAGCAUUUGAUGCUGGGAAAAGAACCCACCCUAAUGGUCCCCAAUUGGCAGAGCUCGGCUGUUAAGCAGCGGACCAUAUGCUGCCUGCCGGAGGAGCGUGGUCAGCACUUGUCCCCGUGCCUGCGUGCGUGUGUCUGCGUGCACGUGUGCCUGCGGUUACCUGUGCCCUGUGUGUGCACAUGUGCUUGCAUGCGUGUGCCUGCGUGUACAUGUGCCUGCGUGUACCUGUGCCCUGUCUGUGCACGUGUGCCUGUGUGUACCUGUGCCCUGUGUGUGCAUGCGUGUGUGAGUCACGUCUUCCGUGUGUGUGUGUGAGGGAGAGACUGAGGGGUUGGAGGGAGGGUGGAGGGGAAAGGGUAUGUAUCCCUUUGUUCUUUAAAAGGGAGAGCCCCGACCUCUCUGGCUGCCCCCUCCUGCCUGUGCCCCCAGCUCACCCCAGACCUAGCUGCUAUUUAUUCUCCUGACCCCCUCCCAGCCCUGCGGCCCUAUGGCCCUGUUGCCUGUGACCCUGCAGCCCCGUGUCCCGCAGCCUCUGCCCCGCUGUCUGCUCCCCGUCACCAGGCAACACUGGGCCCCACCAGGCUUCCGAAGGUGGCCCAGAGCAGGCAUUUGAGCCUGAUGACCCAGAGCAAAGCUGCCUUUCUGGCCUUGAGUACUCCUUUCUGCUGUGGGAGGCUUUUCUUGUUUUCAACGGCCCGUCCAGCCCAGGGGGGCUGGGUGAGGGCCGCUUCCUUCUGCAGCAGAGGGGGCGGGCUCUAUCCCUGCCAUCUGCUGCCCCCAGAGCCCCUGCCAGGACACGGGCCUGAGCGGUUUCUUCUUCAAGAGGCCCUCCCGGGACCUGCGUGUGCACAGGGCGGGAAGACUCUCGCUGCUUUGGCCCAGGGCUGCAGCCAGGACGGGCUGAGCUACUCUGGCGCUAAAAACACACAAGGGGUGCCUGCCAGCUCAGCAGCACCCUUCUUCAACCACACCCUGUGCCUGGACCCAGAGCCGCAGGCUUUUGGACCCAGGGGACCGGGGCUGGGCCCAGGCUUGGGCCUGGAGGGCUUAUGGAGGGGCCAGACCUAGAGCAGUAGGGCUGCAACAGCUGAGGGCUGGGCCCCUGCCGGCCAAUGAAGCUCCAGACCAGUGACCUGCCCUUGGCGGUGCCAGCAAUGCUCCUGCAGGGAUGGAGGGUGCUGGAGGCCUGGAUGCGGGGACCUUGAUCCCCCAGCAGGCAGCACUGUGGCAGCCUGCCACCUCCUCUUCCCCUGUUAUCUGCUCCGUUUAGGAUCUGAAAAUUACAGAGCUUUUUUUUUUUUUUUUUUGAGAGGGAGUCUUGCUUUGUCCCCCAGGCUGGAGUGCAAUGGCACAAUCUCGGCUCACUCACUACAACCUCCGCCUCACAGGUUCAAGCGAUUCUCCCGCCUCAGCCUCACGAGUAGC
This is an RNA transcript of Nomascus leucogenys (northern white-cheeked gibbon), 2960 nucleotides long. RefSeq lists it as uncharacterized. The record is from RefSeq and is a predicted model, not a curated record. NCBI's taxonomy places the organism in Eukaryota, Metazoa, Chordata, Mammalia, Primates, Hylobatidae. The transcript has a single exon.